GAUUUUAGAUUCAAAGAUUCAAGAGAUUCCACAUUAACAUAUGGAAACCUCAAAAGGCUUUCACACUCA
This is a long non-coding RNA of Solanum tuberosum (potato), 69 nucleotides long. RefSeq lists it as uncharacterized. The transcript has 3 exons. The record is from RefSeq and is a predicted model, not a curated record. Lineage: Eukaryota; Viridiplantae; Streptophyta; Magnoliopsida; Solanales; Solanaceae.